UACGGGAGGUGCGAGCGUUGUUCGGAAUGACUGGGCGUAAAGCGCACGUAGGCGGGUCUUUAAGUCGAAUGUGAAAGCCCCGGGCUUAACCUGGGAAUUGCACUCGAAACUGUAGAUCUUGAAUGCUUGAGAGGUUGAUGGAAUUCUUGGUGUAGGAGUGAAAUCCGUAGAUAUCAAGAGGAACACCGGAGGCGAAGGCGGUCAACUGGCGAUGCAUUGACGCUGAGGUGCGAAAGCGUGGGUAGCAAACAGG
This 253-nucleotide ribosomal RNA is filed under the name uncultured bacterium. RNAcentral describes it as "partial 16S ribosomal RNA". It matches the Rfam family "Bacterial small subunit ribosomal RNA", at positions 524 to 776 of the family's 1533-position model. The record is from RNAcentral.